This 152-nucleotide microRNA precursor is filed under the name Gossypium hirsutum (cotton). Its description in RNAcentral is "MIR7502 microRNA precursor family". It matches the Rfam family "MIR7502 microRNA precursor family". RNAcentral also lists the same sequence under 1 other name. Lineage: Eukaryota; Viridiplantae; Streptophyta; Magnoliopsida; Malvales; Malvaceae. The record is from Rfam by way of RNAcentral.
UAUUAAAAAUUUCAUCCAUUUGUACUGUUAAAAACUAACAUGAUUACUGGAAUAACCAGACAGUGACACAUGAACCUCAUAGUGACACAUGAACCUCAUAUUGAUAUACAAGAACCAGUUUUUAACAGUAAAAACCGAUAGUAUUUUUAAUA